AAACAUCUCUUUUUGAAUAUAAUUUAAAGUUUGAUYUGCUCAAUGAUUAAGAUUAAAUAGCUGCAGUAAUUUAACUGUACUAAGGUAGCAUAAUCAAUAGUUUUUUAAUUGAAAGCUGGAAUGAAAGAUUGAAUGAAAUAAUAAUUGUCUCAAAUUUAAUAAUAUUAGAAUUUUUUUUUUAGUUAAAAAGCUAAAAUGAUUUUAAAAGACGAGAAGACCCUAUAGAUUUUUAUAAUUUAUUUAAAUAAUAAUAAUAAUAUAAUUUAUAAUUAAUUAAUUAAAUUAUUUAGUUGGGGAAAUUAUUAAAUUUAAUAAAUUUUAAUUUUUAUUAAACAAUAAUUAUUGAAUAAGUGAUCUUAAUUAUAGAUAGUAAGAAUAAAAUACCUUAGGGAUAACAGCGUAAUAUUUUUAGAGAGAUCAUAUUAAUAAAAAUGUUUGCGACCUCGAUGUUGAAUUAAAAUAAAAUUAUAAUGAAGAAGUUAUAAAUUUUUGGUCUGUUCGACCAUUAAAAUUUUACGUGAUCUGAGUUCA
This 531-nucleotide ribosomal RNA is filed under the name Ateleute sp. 3 BFS-2018. RNAcentral's name for it is "partial 16S large subunit ribosomal RNA". The stretch from base 391 to 531 matches the Rfam family "Archaeal large subunit ribosomal RNA", at positions 2544 to 2684 of the family's 2987-position model. Lineage: Eukaryota; Metazoa; Arthropoda; Insecta; Hymenoptera; Ichneumonidae. The record is from RNAcentral.